Molecule: ribosomal RNA, 546 nt
Filed under: Escherichia coli
Lineage: Bacteria; Pseudomonadati; Pseudomonadota; Gammaproteobacteria; Enterobacterales; Enterobacteriaceae
Also listed under: 1 other name
Description: bacterial SSU rRNA
Rfam family: Bacterial small subunit ribosomal RNA
Source: RNAcentral
UUAGCUAGUAGGUGGGGUAACGGCUCACCUAGGCGACGAUCCCUAGCUGGUCUGAGAGGAUGACCAGCCACACUGGAACUGAGACACGGUCCAGACUCCUACGGGAGGCAGCAGUGGGGAAUAUUGCACAAUGGGCGCAAGCCUGAUGCAGCCAUGCCGCGUGUAUGAAGAAGGCCUUCGGGUUGUAAAGUACUUUCAGCGGGGAGGAAGGGAGUAAAGUUAAUACCUUUGCUCAUUGACGUUACCCGCAGAAGAAGCACCGGCUAACUCCGUGCCAGCAGCCGCGGUAAUACGGAGGGUGCAAGCGUUAAUCGGAAUUACUGGGCGUAAAGCGCACGCAGGCGGUUUGUUAAGUCAGAUGUGAAAUCCCCGGGCUCAACCUGGGAACUGCAUCUGAUACUGGCAAGCUUGAGUCUCGUAGAGGGGGGUAGAAUUCCAGGUGUAGCGGUGAAAUGCGUAGAGAUCUGGAGGAAUACCGGUGGCGAAGGCGGCCCCCUGGACGAAGACUGACGCUCAGGUGCGAAAGCGUGGGGAGCAAACAGGAUU